Molecule: long non-coding RNA, 2365 nt
Filed under: Sus scrofa (pig)
Lineage: Eukaryota; Metazoa; Chordata; Mammalia; Artiodactyla; Suidae
Description: lncRNA (ENSSSCG00000059779.1)
Source: RNAcentral
CUUCCUGGCGCCUUGUCAUCUGCACAUAUCCCGGUUCUUUAACUCGUUGACUCACUUACCUGUUUUGUUCACGGCUGAAUCCCCAGAACCAACUGCUGGACCUGCAGCAGGACCUGGCCUCCUUUUUCCUAACCAGCAGGCGAGCUCCCCAAGCCUCAAGAUAAACAGUCGGCGGGUCCCAACGAUCGCUUUUCUAACAGAAUGGAAUGAAACCGCCUACACUGCACACAGGAAGGGUAAUAGCCAACAGACCAGCCCAGUCAUGGACCACAAGGAAGGCAGUUCUGGGUCUGGGGAGAAGCCACCGGUCGGCACCCUGUUCGGUCCUGCAGGGCGGGUCUGGUGGGCAUUGCGGAGAGUAAGUCUGACGGCACCAGCCCCCAAGCCCACAGGCGCAGACAGCGAGUGAGGAGUGCAGACAACGGAGGUUGGAGGCAGAUGAGGCUCGGCUCCAGGGCUGGCUGAAGGGGCCAUCUGGAGUCAAAUAAAGUGGAUUUUCUAUCAGACUUACACGAAAGAAGACUGGUCAUCAUCUGCAAGGCCAUAUACCCCAAACCCACUGUAGUUAAGAACUCAUGCCCUGAAGUCUAAAGAGAUCCAGGUUCAAGUCUCAGUUCCCCUGCCCCUUGCAAAUGCAAUUUGAAGCUAUGCAUUUCCCUCUGAAGACUGCUUUGUCUUUCAUCCCAUGGAUCUUCAUGUACAACACUCAGCUCUCCUGGUUCAGUUCUAGUUAGACUAUCCUUUCCAUUUUGAUUUUUCCUUUAACUGGAGAACUUAUCUGAAAUAUGGAUCAUAACGUUUAGGUUUGUGAGGCUACGUUGAGAUGGUGAAAGUAAAGUCCCUAGGACAGUGCCUGGCACAGGAUAAGCAUGUCAUAUAUUUUACUGCUGCUCUGCUGCCUCUGAUAAGAUUGUAUCAUAGAGUUCCUCCAUCUCUGAUCAGAAUCUUGCCCCUUUUCCUGCCCCUAGUGUCCUCACCACUUCUUAUAAACAUGUCUAACAGAGUCAUUCUCCUAAAAUGGAGGCCUACUCAGAUCAUUUUCCAACCAAAAAAAUCUAAGGUGAUUCACUGUUGCCAGUGCACAUGUAUGGACCUCAGGAAUCUCCUGACUCACCUAGAAGAGAAGCUGCCUGAGAGUGCAGGCCUUUCUGUCACAUUCAGCACUGGUGUUACUGGGGUUGGCAAGGGUGCCUGGCAUAUGAGAGGUGCCCGACCUAUACUAGCUGGGGUGAAUGAAUGAAUGAAUGAAUGGUCUACUCUUGAGGAUACUCCUUUCAUUUCCUGAAAGCUCCUCCUGUAAAUCUUGAUUUCCUUACUUUCCCCUUUUGCAUCCAUGUAUCGUUUGCAUUUCUUAUGAAAAUUUGUUUUCAUUAAAAGAAGCAGAAACCUGCUCUGGCGAGCUUGGCUUGAGAGGGGGGGAGUUCCCAUCGUGGCUCAGGAGUAAUGCAGGUUCAAUCCCUGGCUUCACUCUGUGGGUUAAGGAUCCGGCAUUGCCGUGAGCUGGGGUGUAGGUCACAGACGCAGCUCUGAUUUGACCCAGAGCCUGGGAACCUCCAUGUGCUAGGGGUGCAGCCCCCCCCCCAAAAAAAGGGAGAGCAUUUAUUAAAGAACACAGACAGACACUCCAGGACUAAGAGCCUGACUUGGCAUCAGGAAGGCCCAGGACUAAGAAGAGGAAGCCCUGGGAGCCCAUGAAGGUCCCAUCUCUCAACUGCUUCUCCGCACACAUCUUCAUUUCCUCUUUCUUAUAGACUGGCUCCAUCGGAUGCUCACAGCUCCUGUUUGACAUAUAUUUCAGUGCCAUGUGGGGAUCACAUCUUUUUCAGUACUCACUCCACAUUCUCAGGAAGGAGCUGGAUUUUCCCAGCCUGCAUCAAUUCUUGCCCCUGAUUCACUCAACAGUAGUGGGAAGAAUGUGGCCUUUUAGUUCAGGCCAGGUGCCUGCAGACCCCACCCCAGGGAAGGGGGUAGGGAAAAGGCAGUUCAGAAGCCAUUGCGAGCUGGCGGCCCUCCAAAUGCAUCACCAAUCCUGGGCUUUCCAAGCAUCUGUCACUCACAUGCCGCUUUCAUAACAAGAGGCAUGGUCCCGACUGCCUGGGUGCAAAUCACAGCUCUGCCACUUGCUAUCUGUGUGAUCUGAGCAAGGUACUGAGCCUCAGUUUCCUCAUCUGUAGGAGGAGCGCUGUGAAUAUCGACCAAAGUUGCUUGGGUCUAAAAUUCUUAAAGCUGGGAGUGUCCCAUUGUAAACACAUCAAAAAAUACUUAGCCGUUAACACCGCUAAGAGCCUUUAUUGUUUUUAAAUUCCUUCAUGGCCCGCGUAAGAUUAUUACUAUGGCUUAUUUUUUGUUCCACUGUCAAUAAAAC